Molecule: transfer RNA, 72 nt
Filed under: Perkinsus chesapeaki
Lineage: Eukaryota; Perkinsozoa; Perkinsida; Perkinsidae
Rfam family: tRNA
About the family: Transfer RNA (tRNA) molecules are approximately 80 nucleotides in length. Their secondary structure includes four short double-helical elements and three loops (D, anti-codon, and T loops).
Source: Rfam by way of RNAcentral
GGCCUCGUGGCGCAAUGGAAGCGCGUCGGUUUCCGGAGCCGGAGGUUGCGGGUUCAAGUCCCGCCGGGGUUA